GAAGGUACAGCUCAGUGGUAGAGCACAUGCUUAGCAUGCACGAGGCCCUGGGUUCAAUCCGUAGUACCUCCU
RNAcentral lists this transfer RNA (72 nucleotides) under Camelus dromedarius (Arabian camel). It matches the Rfam family "tRNA". Rfam says of the family: Transfer RNA (tRNA) molecules are approximately 80 nucleotides in length. Their secondary structure includes four short double-helical elements and three loops (D, anti-codon, and T loops). Further hydrogen bonds mediate the characteristic L-shaped molecular structure. tRNAs have two regions of fundamental functional importance: the anti-codon, which is responsible for specific mRNA codon recognition, and the 3' end, to which the tRNAs corresponding amino acid is attached (by aminoacyl-tRNA synthetases). tRNAs cope with the degeneracy of the genetic code in two manners: having more than one tRNA (with a specific anti-codon) for a particular amino acid; and 'wobble' base-pairing, i.e. permitting non-standard base-pairing at the 3rd anti-codon position. RNAcentral also lists the same sequence under 1 other name. Lineage: Eukaryota; Metazoa; Chordata; Mammalia; Artiodactyla; Camelidae. The record is from Rfam by way of RNAcentral.